UGCCUAAAUGCGACAUUUGUCAGGCAUUUAUAUAUAUUACCUGUUAUAUACAUCUCUAUAUGCAUUCGUCCUUCUUUGCAAUCCUCUUUAAUCUUCAUGGAUGCCGAGCCUUUUAAUCAAUAUAUAACUAAAAUGGUUUUUGUUGUGAUUAUAUACAUAGAACCAUUUCUUUCUUUAAAUAUGAUUGUUGAUAGAAGCUUUGGAUAUUGAGACGGACCUAUAGCGCCUGAGAUGAAUGGUGAGAAAGGAUCCAUAAAGUCAACCCCAACUAGUCUAGGAUUAAGGCUUAGUUGUUUUUGUUGUUGUGAUUGUUGAUAGAAUUUCAAAAGAUAUUGUCUUAGU
This 342-nucleotide unclassified non-coding RNA is filed under the name Hevea brasiliensis (rubber tree). Lineage: Eukaryota; Viridiplantae; Streptophyta; Magnoliopsida; Malpighiales; Euphorbiaceae. The record is from RNAcentral.